AGUGAACGCUGGCGGUAGGCCUAACACAUGCAAGUCGAACGGCAGCACAGUAAGAGCUUGCUCUUACGGGUGGCGAGUGGCGGACGGGUGAGGAAUACAUCGGAAUCUACUUUUUCGUGGGGGAUAACGUAGGGAAACUUACGCUAAUACCGCAUACGACCUACGGGUGAAAGCAGGGGAUCUUCGGACCUUGCGCGAUUGAAUGAGCCGAUGUCGGAUUAGCUAGUUGGCGGGGUAAAGGCCCACCAAGGCGACGAUCCGUAGCUGGUCUGAGAGGAUGAUCAGCCACACUGGAACUGAGACACGGUCCAGACUCCUACGGGAGGCAGCAGUGGGGAAUAUUGGACAAUGGGCGCAAGCCUGAUCCAGCCAUACCGCGUGGGUGAAGAAGGCCUUCGGGUUGUAAAGCCCUUUUGUUGGGAAAGAAAAGCAGCAGGUUAAUACCCCGCUGUUCUGACGGUACCCAAAGAAUAAGCAACGGCUAACUUCGUG
This 492-nucleotide ribosomal RNA is filed under the name uncultured bacterium. RNAcentral's name for it is "partial 16S ribosomal RNA". It matches the Rfam family "Bacterial small subunit ribosomal RNA", at positions 29 to 507 of the family's 1533-position model. The record is from RNAcentral.